RNAcentral lists this ribosomal RNA (498 nucleotides) under uncultured bacterium. RNAcentral's name for it is "partial 16S ribosomal RNA". It matches the Rfam family "Bacterial small subunit ribosomal RNA", at positions 29 to 523 of the family's 1533-position model. The record is from RNAcentral.
AUUGAACGCUGGCGGCAUGCCUUACACAUGCAAGUCGAACGGUAACGCGGGGCAACCUGGCGACGAGUGGCGAACGGGUGAGUAAUGCAUCGGAACGUGCCCAGUAGUGGGGGAUAGGCCGGCGAAAGCCGGAUUAAUACCGCAUACGACCUACGGGUGAAAGGGGGGGAUCGCAAGACCUCUCGCUAUUGGAGCGGCCGAUGUCAGAUUAGCUAGUUGGUGGGGUAAAGGCCUACCAAGGCGACGAUCUGUAGCUGGUCUGAGAGGACGACCAGCCACACUGGGACUGAGACACGGCCCAGACUCCUACGGGAGGCAGCAGUGGGGAAUUUUGGACAAUGGGCGAAAGCCUGAUCCAGCCAUGCCGCGUGCGGGAAGAAGGCCUUCGGGUUGUAAACCGCUUUUGUCAGGGAAGAAAUCUUCUGAGUUAAUACCUCAGGAGGAUGACGGUACCUGAAGAAUAAGCACCGGCUAACUACGUGCCAGCAGCCGCCGUAA